This 88-nucleotide transfer RNA is filed under the name Escherichia coli. Its description in RNAcentral is "tRNA-Leu". It matches the Rfam family "tRNA". From Rfam's summary of the family: Transfer RNA (tRNA) molecules are approximately 80 nucleotides in length. Their secondary structure includes four short double-helical elements and three loops (D, anti-codon, and T loops). The record is from RNAcentral. RNAcentral also lists the same sequence under 1 other name. Lineage: Bacteria; Pseudomonadati; Pseudomonadota; Gammaproteobacteria; Enterobacterales; Enterobacteriaceae.
GCGAAGGUGGCGGAAUUGGUAGACGCGCUAGCUUCAGGUGUUAGUGUCCCUUACGGACGUGGGGGUUCAAGUCCCCCCCCUCGCACCA